UUGACCAUAUAUUAGAACCCCCCUAGAGAUAGAGUGGUGCCUUCGGGGAGCUUUUUAUACAGGUGCUGCACGGCUGUCGUCAGCUCGUGUCGUGAGAUGUUGGGUUAAGUCCCGCAACGAGCGCAACCCUCGUCACUAGUUACUAACGGUUCGGCCGAGGACUCUAGUGAGACUGCCUUCGUAAGGAGGAGGAAGGUGAGGACGACGUCAAGUCAUCAUGGCCCUUACGGCUAGGGCAACACACGUGCUACAAUGGUUGGGACAAUGAGACGCAAUACCGCGAGGUGGAGCAAAUCUAUAAACCCAAUCUCAGUUCGGAUUGUUCUCUGCAACUCGAGAACAUGAAGCUGGAAUCACUAGUAAUCGUAGAUCAGCUAUGCUACGGUGAAUACGUUCCCGGGUCUUGUACUCACCGCCCGUCACACCAUGGGAGUUGAUUUCACCCGAAGCGGGGAAGCUAAACUGGCUACCCUCCACGGUGGAAUUAGCGACUGGGGUGAAGUCGUAACAAGGUA
This 515-nucleotide ribosomal RNA is filed under the name uncultured bacterium. Its description in RNAcentral is "bacterial SSU rRNA". It matches the Rfam family "Bacterial small subunit ribosomal RNA", at positions 981 to 1498 of the family's 1533-position model. The record is from RNAcentral.